RNAcentral lists this ribosomal RNA (788 nucleotides) under uncultured bacterium. RNAcentral describes it as "bacterial SSU rRNA". It matches the Rfam family "Bacterial small subunit ribosomal RNA", at positions 8 to 796 of the family's 1533-position model. The record is from RNAcentral.
AGAGUUUGAUCMUGGCUCAGGAUGAACGCUAGCGGCAGGCCUAAUACAUGCAAGUCGAACGAUAUGAAGUAGAAAUACUUCAAAAAGUGGCGCACGGGUGCGUAACACGUAUGCAACCUACCUAUCACAGGGGGAUAGCCCGAAGAAAUUCGGAUUAAUACCCCAUAAAACAGAUUCUUCGCAUGGAGAGAUUGUUAAAGCUGAGGCGGUGAUAGAUGGGCAUGCGACUGAUUAGUUAGUUGGCGGGGUAACGGCCCACCAAGACAAUGAUCAGUAGGGGGUCUGAGAGGAUGAUCCCCCACACUGGUACUGAGAUACGGACCAGACUCCUACGGGAGGCAGCAGUAGGGAAUAUUGGUCAAUGGGCGAGAGCCUGAACCAGCCAUGCCGCGUGCAGGAAGAAGGCCUUCUGGGUUGUAAACUGCUUUUAUCAGGGAAGAAAACGCUCUUGCGAGAGUAACUGACGGUACCUGAGGAAUAAGCACCGGCUAACUCCGUGCCAGCAGCCGCGGUAAUACGGAGGGUGCAAGCGUUGUCCGGAUUUAUUGGGUUUAAAGGGUGCGUAGGCGGGCUAUUAAGUCAGUGGUGAAAGCCGGCAGCUCAACUGUCGAACUGCCAUUGAUACUGAUAGCCUUGAGUACAGAUGAGGUGGGCGGAAUUUAUGGUGUAGCGGUGAAAUGCAUAGAUACCAUAAAGAACACCGAUAGCGAAGGCAGCUCACUAAACUGUAACUGACGCUGAGGCWCGAAAGCAUGGGGAKCGAACAGGAUUAGAUACCCUGGUAGUCC